UGACUGUGCUAAGGUAGCAUAAUCAAUUGGCUUUUAAUUGAAGUCUAGUAUGAACGGAUUUACGUAAAAGUUCUGUCUCAAUUAAAAUUUUUUUAAAUUUUUUAAGAGGUGAAAAAACCUUUAAUAUUUAAAAGACGAGAAGACCCUAAGAAUUUUAAAAAAAUUAACUUAUCUUUUUUGCUGGGGCGGCAAUGGAUCAUGAAACAUCCAUAUU
This 214-nucleotide ribosomal RNA is filed under the name Sarasinula sp. n. 2 NB-2014. Its description in RNAcentral is "partial 16S ribosomal RNA". Lineage: Eukaryota; Metazoa; Mollusca; Gastropoda; Systellommatophora; Veronicellidae. The record is from RNAcentral.